RNAcentral lists this transfer RNA (75 nucleotides) under Holophagales bacterium. RNAcentral's name for it is "tRNA-Thr". It matches the Rfam family "tRNA". From Rfam's summary of the family: Transfer RNA (tRNA) molecules are approximately 80 nucleotides in length. Their secondary structure includes four short double-helical elements and three loops (D, anti-codon, and T loops). Further hydrogen bonds mediate the characteristic L-shaped molecular structure. tRNAs have two regions of fundamental functional importance: the anti-codon, which is responsible for specific mRNA codon recognition, and the 3' end, to which the tRNAs corresponding amino acid is attached (by aminoacyl-tRNA synthetases). tRNAs cope with the degeneracy of the genetic code in two manners: having more than one tRNA (with a specific anti-codon) for a particular amino acid; and 'wobble' base-pairing, i.e. permitting non-standard base-pairing at the 3rd anti-codon position. The record is from RNAcentral. RNAcentral also lists the same sequence under 1 other name. Lineage: Bacteria; Pseudomonadati; Acidobacteriota; Holophagae; Holophagales.
GCCGACGUAGCUCAGCGGUAGAGCAGCCGAUUCGUAAUCGGCAGGUCGCCAGUUCAAUCCUGGCCGUCGGCUCCA